UAGGGAAUCUUCCACAAUGGACGAAAGUCUGAUGGAGCAACGCGCGUGAGUGAAGAAGGUCUUCGGAUCGUAAAACUCUGUUGUUAGAGAAGAACACGAGUGAGAGUAACUGUUCAUUCGAUGACGGUAUCUAACCAGCAAGUCACGGCUAACUACGUGCCAG
This 163-nucleotide ribosomal RNA is filed under the name uncultured bacterium. RNAcentral's name for it is "partial 16S rRNA". It matches the Rfam family "Bacterial small subunit ribosomal RNA", at positions 355 to 511 of the family's 1533-position model. The record is from RNAcentral.